UCACUUUAGGUGUUAAAUAGUG
Molecule: non-coding RNA, 22 nt
Filed under: Arabidopsis thaliana (thale cress)
Lineage: Eukaryota; Viridiplantae; Streptophyta; Magnoliopsida; Brassicales; Brassicaceae
Source: RNAcentral